This 252-nucleotide ribosomal RNA is filed under the name uncultured bacterium. RNAcentral's name for it is "partial 16S ribosomal RNA". It matches the Rfam family "Bacterial small subunit ribosomal RNA", at positions 524 to 776 of the family's 1533-position model. The record is from RNAcentral.
UACGGAGGAUUCAAGCGUUAUCCGGAUUUAUUGGGUUUAAAGGGUGCGCAGGCGGCCUGUUAAGUCAGCGGUAAAAGCCCGGGGCUCAACCCCGGCGAGCCGUUGAAACUGGCGGGCUGGAGUUGGAGAGAAGUACGCGGAAUGCGCGGUGUAGCGGUGAAAUGCUUAGAUAUAAGGAAGAACACCAGUGGCGAAGGCGGAUGACUGGACGGCAACUGACGGUGAGGCGCGAAAGCGUGGGGAGCAAACAGG